Mycena epipterygia is the source of this 90-nucleotide non-coding RNA. The record is from the annotation of a GenBank genome assembly. NCBI's taxonomy places the organism in Eukaryota, Fungi, Basidiomycota, Agaricomycetes, Agaricales, Mycenaceae.
GCGCCAAUGGUGUAUGGUACACACGCCGAACUCUUACUUUCUAUCUAGUCAAUUGAUCGGUGGUGUGGGGUUCGAUUCCCCACUGGUGCA